AUGUCAUUUCAUUGUCCCUCUCCAGGUGAACCACGAGCUCCGGUCUGCGGAGGAACAGUCACAGUACACGAGGUUAACGAACGCAACCUGUUCCGUUCACUGCUGCUGCGCUGCAGGCUGGCGUUCCGGCGACACCUAGCGCGCACCGAGGGAACUACACACGACCGGGUGAGAUUCAUGGCGAGGCGGAUCUCAUAUCCCAGUGAAUGUGGAUGUUCUGUACACAGAAGCUCGGAACUUAAUGAAGGUGCCUGUGAGGAAAGCUGGCUCCAUCACUCUCCCCAGUUCCAAUCCCCCAGGGAUACACAAACCCAAUGAAGAGAACAUGCCCAGCGGGGCUGUAUAUUGGGAUUUGAAUCAUUAUUUUGUACAAGGCAACUGUAAAAACACAGAUCAGAUUUAUAUCUGUGUUCGUGCACCCUGUGGGUCUUCACGCUGCUCAUAAAAACACAAAGGGCUCCUGCUAGUGUGCAGCAGAGAUCAAUGGGGGCUCUGAUUAUAAAGGGACAGCGGCAAUGGCAGCUUGUGCCAUCCCACAUAUGGCUGAUUCUCUCAUUAAUACAGAACAUUACGAAUGUGUAUGCAUCAAUUAUGAAUGCAGUGGUGAUGUUGAGCAACUCCUUAUUGCGAGUCAGCGGAGGAAUUGUGCAGCGUGUGUCUUGAACAUGCAGCUCCAUUAACCCCGCAGAGCUCACAAAAGGGACACAACAGAGGAACUUCACUGGAGCCAACGGAGGAUGCAGCAACACUGCCGCCGGUUACGAUGGCAACAGCGAUACCUGAAACAUGGGUGGAGUGGUUAGCUCAUAUACGGUACAGUAUGUACUGAAUUACAUCGCAAGAUGCUGCUCGUUUGUUUUUCUCCCAUUGUCUUGAUAAGAAUAAUAAUGGUAAUAUGAAUAACAACAAUGAAAGAAAGAAUCCAGGUCGGUGAAGUGUUUCACUCUGCCAGAUAUUCUGCUACAGAGAUCUGCAAGAGACCUGUACACACACAACACAGCAUGCAGCAGGACUUCAAACCGGUCCAUUGAAAUCCCGGUCAAGAAUUGUUUUCAUACAACAAGAAUCUAGAUGUGAACAAAGGGGAUAGUGUCAUUUGA
RNAcentral lists this long non-coding RNA (1100 nucleotides) under Scophthalmus maximus (turbot). RNAcentral's name for it is "lncRNA (ENSSMAG00000028521.1)". The record is from RNAcentral. Lineage: Eukaryota; Metazoa; Chordata; Actinopteri; Pleuronectiformes; Scophthalmidae.